GAAAUGCGAUAAGUAAUGUGAAUUGCAGAAUUCAGUGAAUCAUCGAAUCUUUGAACGCACAUUGCGCCCCCUGGUAUUCCGGGGGGCAUGCCUGUUCGAGCGUCAUUUCACCACUCAAGCCUCGCUUGGUAUUGGGCGACGCGGUCCGCCGCGCGCCUCAAAUCGACCGGCUGGGUCUUCCGUCCCCUCAGCGUUGUGGAAACUAUUCGCUAAAGGGUGCCGCGGGAGGUCACGCUGCAAAACAACCCCAUUUCUAAGGUUGACCUCGGAUCAGGUAGGGAUACCCGCUGAACUUAAGC
This 299-nucleotide unclassified non-coding RNA is filed under the name plant metagenome. RNAcentral's name for it is "partial contains 5.8S ribosomal RNA, internal transcribed spacer 2, and large subunit ribosomal RNA". The stretch from base 1 to 105 matches the Rfam family "5.8S ribosomal RNA", at positions 50 to 154 of the family's 154-position model. The record is from RNAcentral.